This 322-nucleotide ribosomal RNA is filed under the name uncultured Chloroflexota bacterium. RNAcentral describes it as "bacterial SSU rRNA". It matches the Rfam family "Bacterial small subunit ribosomal RNA", at positions 28 to 351 of the family's 1533-position model. Lineage: Bacteria; Bacillati; Chloroflexota. The record is from RNAcentral.
GAUGAACGCUGGCGGCGUGCCUAAUACAUGCAAGUCGAACGGAGACAGUAGCAAUAUUGUCUUAGUGGCGAACGGGUGAGUAACGCGUUGGUGACCUGCCUCAGAGAGAGGGAUAACAGUUCGAAAGGACUGCUAAAACCGCAUGAGCUUGCCGGGACUAGAAGCCGGUAAGGAAACAGCGAAAGCUGCUCUGAGAGGGGCCUGCGUCCCAUCAGCUAGUUGGCAGGGUAACAGCCUACCAAGGCGAUGACGGGUAGGGGACCUGAGAGGGUGGCCCCCCACACUGGCACUGAAACACGGGCCAGACACCUACGGGAGGCAG